UACGAAGGGGGCUAGCGUUGUUCGGAGUUACUGGGCGUAAAGGGCGCGUAGGCGGCGCACCAAGUCAGGCGUGAAAGCCCUGGGCUCAACCCGGGAAUUGCGCUUGAGACUGGUAUGCUUGAGUACGGGAGAGGAUAGUGGAAUUCCCAGUGUAGAGGUGAAAUUCGUAGAUAUUGGGAAGAACACCGGUGGCGAAGGCGGCUAUCUGGACCGUAACUGACGCUGAGGCGCGAAAGCGUGGGGAGCAAACAGG
RNAcentral lists this ribosomal RNA (253 nucleotides) under uncultured bacterium. Its description in RNAcentral is "partial 16S ribosomal RNA". It matches the Rfam family "Bacterial small subunit ribosomal RNA", at positions 524 to 776 of the family's 1533-position model. The record is from RNAcentral.